UUUCUCUCCCAUUCCCAAAUCGAUUGCAUCGAUGCAGCGGCGGUAAGAUGCGAGACCUCACCAAGCUUCCGACCCCCUCCCCACCUCCCUCCCACUCCUCCCAGCACAUCCCGGCGGUGGAGGUGAUGGGGAGACGCGGCUUUGUCGGCGGCGGUGGAGGCGAUGGGGAGACGCAGCUUCAUCGGCGGUGGGGGCUUGUAUGCCUAAUUGCUUAUCAUUCCCGGAAGAUUUGAUGCGGUUGCUUGAUGCACGAGCCGCGUUGGUGAAGGCAAACAACACUGCAUUUCUUUUUUUUCUCUAGGUUCUUGCUAUGUUCAUGCACUGCUUUUCUUUUUUCUCUGGGUUCUUGCCAUGUUUAUGCUGUUGCCAGUAGUACUAGUAUUUUCUCAAUUGGAGAGAUUUUCUUUUUAAGUAUUUGCUUUCGGCAAUGGAAACUUUUGGCAUUUUUUAUUCUGCGUCAUAUGCUUCUGGCAUGUGUAAUCAAUAGAUGCAGAGAAAUGACAUAUGUAAUCAACAGAUGCAGAGAAAUGACAGUAAUAUAUGGAUGUUGUCACGGAGGGUAUUUUC
This 567-nucleotide small RNA is filed under the name Oryza sativa Japonica Group (Japanese rice). RNAcentral's name for it is "sRNA Os01g0610050". Lineage: Eukaryota; Viridiplantae; Streptophyta; Magnoliopsida; Poales; Poaceae. The record is from RNAcentral.